GAUGAACGCUGGCGGCGUGCCUAAUACAUGCAAGUCGAGCGGACAGACGAGGCGCUUGCUCGUCUGACGUUAGGGGCGGAGGUGAGAGUAACAUGUGUAUAAUGUACCUAUCAUUCUGGGAAAAUCUCGGGACAGCGGAGCUAAUACGGUAUAAUCUAUUGAACCGUAUUGGGCGUUAGAGAAAUUCGGCGUUUGUGGCACGUAUAGAUGGAUCCGCGCCGGAUUAGCUAGUAGGUAAGGUAACGGGUUACCAAGGCAAGGCUGCGUAGCCGAGGUGAGAGGGUGAUCGGCCACCCUGGAGCUGGGACACGGUCCAGGGUACUGCGGGAGGCAGCAGUAGGGAAUCUUACGCAAUGGGCGAAAGCUUGACGGAGCAACGCCGCGUGAGUGAUGAAGGUCUUCGGAUCGUAAAACUCUGUUAUUAGGGAAGAACAAAUGUGUAAGUAACUAUGCACGUCUUGACGGUACCUAAUCAGAAAGCCACGGCUAACUACGUG
Molecule: ribosomal RNA, 497 nt
Filed under: uncultured bacterium
Lineage: Bacteria
Description: partial 16S ribosomal RNA
Rfam family: Bacterial small subunit ribosomal RNA
Source: RNAcentral